CGAAUUUGACCCUUCAGCAAGAUUUCUCGUGUCACGCUGUCCUUAAUAACAUAAUAUGUUGAGUGAAAUUCAAAAAACACACCAUUGUCAGUGGCAAACUAAGAUACAGAUAGUAGAUUUUUACCUAUAGCCAGAACGCACAAAACAUUAGAUAACUGAAGCAAUUUAGAGUGUGUAUUUAAAACACCUUGACCAAUUGACGAGAUCUUAGCGGGCGCUCCAUCACCCAUUAAAAGAGAAGACGUACCUGAAUACGGGGUAGCAUCAUUCAGAGCGAACGAAUCCCUACAGCCAUGAUUGCUGGCACCUGAAUCGAGAUACCACGACGUGGUACCUACCGGUACUGAAAUAUACGAAUCAGUGCUAUCAUUAAUGCCAAACUGUGCAGAAUUAACAUGAAAUCUGGAUGAGUCAAAAUAACAAAAAAUGUGAAGGUCACUUACACGAGGAAGCCUGAUGCACGAAUCAGACCCGCAGUAAACAUAAGCUCGUGGCUUAAUGUGCCAAGGAAUUACAGAUUGACCACCAGUCGGC
Molecule: long non-coding RNA, 534 nt
Filed under: Gossypium barbadense (sea-island cotton)
Lineage: Eukaryota; Viridiplantae; Streptophyta; Magnoliopsida; Malvales; Malvaceae
Description: long non-coding RNA (GBAR_LNC006296)
Source: RNAcentral